RNAcentral lists this unclassified non-coding RNA (21 nucleotides) under Chlamydomonas reinhardtii. Its description in RNAcentral is "small RNA Cre_3344". Lineage: Eukaryota; Viridiplantae; Chlorophyta; Chlorophyceae; Chlamydomonadales; Chlamydomonadaceae. The record is from RNAcentral.
UGGCUGCUGCUGAUCAGGCGG